AAGGCUAUACUUUGAAGGAUCAUUCCUAUGGUGUUUUAUUUGAUGUGUUUGUAGAGUGUAUGGUCUUGCAAACCAACAUGGUUUGCUAUGAUAUUUCCAUUGAAGUAUGAAGCUGACAAACAGUCAUGAUUCUGUCAUGUGUUUUUUGUCAUUCAUGAUUGUUCUGUGCUUCUUUACAGAAUUGAAGUGAGUAUGAUCUGAGUCGU
Molecule: small nucleolar RNA, 206 nt
Organism: Maylandia zebra (zebra mbuna)
Lineage: Eukaryota; Metazoa; Chordata; Actinopteri; Cichliformes; Cichlidae
Product: small nucleolar RNA U3
Source: RefSeq, a predicted model, not a curated record